Molecule: ribosomal RNA, 585 nt
Filed under: Munidopsis erinacea
Lineage: Eukaryota; Metazoa; Arthropoda; Malacostraca; Decapoda; Munidopsidae
Description: partial 16S ribosomal RNA
Rfam family: Bacterial large subunit ribosomal RNA
Source: RNAcentral
UCGCCUGUUUUACAAAAACAUGUCUGUAUGAAGUUAUAUAGAGUYUGGCCUGCCCACUGAGGUUUUAAAGGCCGCGGUAUUUUGACUGUGCAAAGGUAGCAUAAUAAUUAGCUUUUUAAUUGAAAGCUUGUAUGAAAGGUUGGACAAAGAAAAAGCUGUCUUUAAUAUUUUUAUUGAAUUUUACAUUUAAGUGAAAAGGCUUAAAUUAAUUUAAGGGACGAUAAGACCCUAUAAAUCUUUACAUUUAUUUGUCUUUUUUUUUGUUAGUUGUGAAUUAAAUAAAAAAUAAUAUAGGUGUUGUGUUGGGGUGAUAGAGAUAUAAUAAAUUUUAACUGUCUUUAAGAGUAUAAACAAGAGUAUUUGAUUAAAUUUAAGAUCCUUUCGUGCAGAUUAAAAGUUUAAGUUACUUUAGGGAUAACAGCGUAAUUUUUUUUGAGAGUUCAUAUCGAAAGAAGAGUUUGCGACCUCGAUGUUGAAUUAAAAAUUUCCUUAUGGUGUAGCCGUUGUAAGGGAGAGUCUGUUCGACUUUUAAAAUUUUACAUGAUUUGAGUUCAAACCGGCGUAAGCCAGGUUAUUUUCUAUCAA